AACGCGAAGAACCUUACCUAAGCUUGACAUCCCUCUGAAGGCCCCUUAAUCGGGGCCCCUCUUCGGAGCAGAGGUGACAGGUGGUGCAUGGUUGUCGUCAGCUCGUGUCGUGAGAUGUUGGGUUAAGUCCCGCAACGAGCGCAACCCUUGUCUUUAGUUGCCAGCAGUUCGGCUGGGCACUCUAGAGAGACUGCCGAGGAUAACUCGGAGGAAGGUGGGGAUGACGUCAAAUCAUCAUGCCCCUUAUGCUUAGGGCUACACACGUGCUACAAUGGCUGUUACAAAGGGUUGCCAAACCGCGAGGUGGAGCUAAUCCCAUAAAGACAGUCUAAGUUCGGAUUGUAGGCUGAAACUCGCCUACAUGAAGCUGGAGUUACUAGUAAUCGCAGAUCAGAAUGCUGCGGUGAAUGCGUUCCCGGGUCUUGUACACACCG
This 434-nucleotide ribosomal RNA is filed under the name uncultured bacterium. Its description in RNAcentral is "bacterial SSU rRNA". It matches the Rfam family "Bacterial small subunit ribosomal RNA", at positions 958 to 1392 of the family's 1533-position model. The record is from RNAcentral.